GCUGGUAUAGCUCAGGUGGUAGAGCGUCGCAUUGGUAGUGCGGAGGUCACGGGUCCGAGUCCCGUUACCAGCU
This 73-nucleotide transfer RNA is filed under the name Candidatus Colinaster equi. Its description in RNAcentral is "tRNA-Thr". It matches the Rfam family "tRNA". From Rfam's summary of the family: Transfer RNA (tRNA) molecules are approximately 80 nucleotides in length. Their secondary structure includes four short double-helical elements and three loops (D, anti-codon, and T loops). Lineage: Bacteria; Bacillati; Bacillota; Clostridia; Lachnospirales; Lachnospiraceae. The record is from RNAcentral.